This 159-nucleotide non-coding RNA is filed under the name Maricaulis salignorans. RNAcentral describes it as "6S / SsrS RNA". It matches the Rfam family "6S / SsrS RNA". From Rfam's summary of the family: E. coli 6S RNA was the first non coding RNA to be sequenced, but its function was unknown until recently. It consists of 184 nucleotides that fold into an extended hairpin structure with a large single-stranded internal bulge. The record is from Rfam by way of RNAcentral. Lineage: Bacteria; Pseudomonadati; Pseudomonadota; Alphaproteobacteria; Maricaulales; Maricaulaceae.
GGUUAUCUGCAGCGUGCGAUGGGGCAUAAAUCCCACGGACCGUACAUCACCACGAGGGAGCUGCCUCUGCUAGGGACCCUGGUCCUCUGUAUGCGGCGCCCACCUGCACCGUCGGGUCAGUGGGGAUUUACAUGCCUUGCCGGCGCAGGUGGAGCCGCC